AUGACUGGUUCGGUACGUCGUGUGUGUGUGUCGUAUGUGCAGCCAUCAGGCAAGGGCAUGACCCAAAUAAGGAGCCUUCUCACAAGUCACGGCCCAACAUCAAAGAGAACUCUUCCUUUCAGUGACUUAUUGCACCUGUCAUCCUUCGAUCGAGCGUGUUUGCCGGAAAUAAAGGUUGGGCGGACACCCUGCCUCGCCCUACCGAGAGCUCCGCCGGUGCUACCACUAAUAUCCUUGUACUGUAGUAGCUUCAGUAUUUCUCCCACUUUUUCUGCUACAUGUGGAAAUGUAGUUACAAUUGAGAAAGCGAGAAAUAUUUGUUUUGUGAAAAAAUUGACAUAUCUUUGUUAUCUGGAUAUCAAAAUUAUUGCAAAUUAUUGCUGA
This 384-nucleotide ribosomal RNA is filed under the name Triticum aestivum (bread wheat). RNAcentral's name for it is "partial small subunit ribosomal RNA". The record is from RNAcentral. Lineage: Eukaryota; Viridiplantae; Streptophyta; Magnoliopsida; Poales; Poaceae.